RNAcentral lists this ribosomal RNA (279 nucleotides) under uncultured bacterium. RNAcentral describes it as "partial 16S ribosomal RNA". It matches the Rfam family "Bacterial small subunit ribosomal RNA", at positions 506 to 784 of the family's 1533-position model. The record is from RNAcentral.
UGCCAGCAGCCGCGGUAAUACGGAGGGGGCGAGCGUUAUUCGGAAUUACUGGGCGUAAAGGGUGCGUAGGCGGCCCAUCAAGUUAGACGUGAAAGCCCCGGGCUCAACCUGGGAAUUGCGUUUAAUACUGGUGAGCUAGAGUACGAGAGAGGAAAGUGGAAUUCCUAGUGUAGAGGUGAAAUUCGUAGAUAUUAGGAAGAACACCAGUGGCGAAGGCGACCACCUGGACUGACACUGACGCUGAGGUGCGAAAGCGUGGGGAGCAAACAGGAUUAGAUA